Molecule: ribosomal RNA, 482 nt
Filed under: uncultured bacterium
Lineage: Bacteria
Description: partial 16S ribosomal RNA
Rfam family: Bacterial small subunit ribosomal RNA
Source: RNAcentral
UGAACGCUGGCGGCAUGCUUUACACAUGCAAGUCGAACGGCAGCGCGGGCUUCGGCCUGGCGGCGAGUGGCGAACGGGUGAGUAAUGCAUCGGAACGUGCCCAGUAGUGGGGGAUAGCUCGGCGAAAGCCGGAUUAAUACCGCAUACGACCUGAGGGUGAAAGCGGGGGAUCUUCGGACCUCGCGCUAUUGGAGCGGCCGAUGGCAGAUUAGCUAGUUGGUGGGGUAAAGGCCUACCAAGGCGACGAUCUGUAGCUGGUCUGAGAGGACGACCAGCCACACUGGGACUGAGACACGGCCCAGACUCCUACGGGAGGCAGCAGUGGGGAAUUUUGGACAAUGGGCGAAAGCCUGAUCCAGCAAUGCCGCGUGUGUGAUGAAGGCCUUCGGGUUGUAAAGCACUUUUGGCGGGAACGAAAAGGACUGUGCCAAUACCACGGUUCGAUGACGGUACCCGCAGAAUAAGCACCGGCUAACUACGUG